This 253-nucleotide ribosomal RNA is filed under the name uncultured bacterium. RNAcentral's name for it is "partial 16S ribosomal RNA". It matches the Rfam family "Bacterial small subunit ribosomal RNA", at positions 524 to 776 of the family's 1533-position model. The record is from RNAcentral.
UACGUAGGGUGCGAGCGUUGUCCGGAAUUAUUGGGCGUAAAGAGCUCGUAGGCGGUUUGUCGCGUCUGCUGUGAAAACCGGAGGCUCAACCUCCGGCCUGCAGUGGGUACGGGCAGACUAGAGUGCGGUAGGGGAGAUUGGAAUUCCUGGUGUAGCGGUGGAAUGCGCAGAUAUCAGGAGGAACACCGAUGGCGAAGGCAGAUCUCUGGGCCGUAACUGACGCUGAGGGGCGAAAGCAUGGGGAGCGAACAGG